Molecule: ribosomal RNA, 496 nt
Filed under: uncultured bacterium
Lineage: Bacteria
Description: partial 16S ribosomal RNA
Rfam family: Bacterial small subunit ribosomal RNA
Source: RNAcentral
GAUGAACGCUGGCGGCGUGCCUAAUACAUGCAAGUCGAGCGAACGGACGAGAAGCUUGCUUCUCUGAUGUUAGCGGCGGACGGGUGAGUAACACGUGGAUAACCUACCUAUAAGACUGGGAUAACUUCGGGAAACCGGAGCUAAUACCGGAUAAUAUUUUGAACCGCAUGGUUCAAAAGUGAAAGACGGUCUUGCUGUCACUUAUAGAUGGAUCCGCGCUGCAUUAGCUAGUUGGUAAGGUAACGGCUUACCAAGGCAACGAUGCAUAGCCGACCUGUGGGGGGGUAGCGCCACAGAGGAACUGAGCAGCCACACGGGGACUUACGGGAGGCAGAAAGUGGUAAGCUACGCAUGAGGGGGAAAGCCUGACGGAUCAGCGGCGGGCUGAUGCAGCAGGUCCUCGUACUGUAAAACGGUCUUAGGAGGGAAAAACAUUUGUGCAUGUAACUAUGCGCAACUGAAGGUAACGUAUAAAGAAAGCCCGGCUAAAUUCGUG